UUGAACGCUGGCGGCAGGCCUAACACAUGCAAGUCGAGCGGAUGAAGGGAGCUUGCUCCUGGAUUCAGCGGCGGACGGGUGAGUAAUGCCUAGGAAUCUGCCUGGUAGUGGGGGAUAACGUCCGGAAACGGGCGCUAAUACCGCAUACGUCCUGAGGGAGAAAGUGGGGGAUCUUCGGACCUCACGCUAUCAGAUGAGCCUAGGUCGGAUUAGCUAGUUGGUGGGGUAAAGGCCUACCAAGGCGACGAUCCGUAACUGGUCUGAGAGGAUGAUCAGUCACACUGGAACUGAGACACGGUCCAGACUCCUACGGGAGGCAGCAGUGGGGAAUAUUGCACAAUGGGCGGAAGCCUGAUGCAGCAACGCCGCGUGCGGGAUGACGGCCUUCGGGUUGUAAACCGCUUUCGCCUGUGACGAAGCGUGAGUGACGGUAAUGGGUAAAGAAGCACCGGCUAACUACGUG
Molecule: ribosomal RNA, 463 nt
Filed under: uncultured bacterium
Lineage: Bacteria
Description: partial 16S ribosomal RNA
Rfam family: Bacterial small subunit ribosomal RNA
Source: RNAcentral